GGCCCCGCCCCCAUCCCCGCCCCCUCCCGCACCGCGGGGGGACCUCGCCUUCCUCCGGAGCUGUGGUUCCCACAGGCUGUUGUGAGUGGCGUUUCAGCUCCGCUGCUCCCGAGUGGCGGGAUCGGGGCACCCCCUUCCGCCCUGGCUCAGUAUAUUGGGGGCGCUGACCGUGAGAGGGGCGGGAGGAGCGGGCGUCGGUCUUCGACCGUGGGCGCCAAUCUUACAGCGCCCUCUGGGCGUGGGCACCCAGCGUCCUCCAGCCCAAAUUCUGCAGGAAAGCCUCUUCCUUGAGAAGCUGCCUCAGAGAUACAGCCCUUUGGAAUGUGACAGCAACAUCGGUACAUAUGCACAGUGAAAGAACACCUCAAUUUCAACUGGCCCUUUGGCCAUCCAAAAUGAAGAUUCUCUUUCCCAGCAUCGCCACAGCUCUAUGUAGCUGCCGGAUGACGGGACAGGAGCAGAGAUGGUCGUACGUACGUUCAGGGAACGAGCAGAGGCGGUUGUACAUACGUUCAGGGAGCGUCAAAGGGAAGGACAGUUCCUUCUUUCCUUUUUUCUUUCCUCCUGGUUGGGAUGCUAGAUAUGGCUACAGCUGGAGCAGUCAUCUUGGACAGGAAGUGAACUUGAGAACAGAGACCAUGCCUGGCAGAGGACCAGGUUAGGAGCGUCGGGUGCCCAGCCAGUGAGGCGGCACACCAGCCUUGCCCUGCCCAUGCACACGUGUGGAUGAUGGACCUCUGCGUUGCUUCAAAAACUGUUAUCCUGGAUUUUCCACCCCUUGCCAGAGAAUCUAACUCUGACAAAUACUCUGGUCAAUUUGGCCUCCUGCAUGUAACCCAAGAGAGUGUGGGGAGGACAGUUGUGUGGGGGGGAGGAGGGAGAGGGGGAUAGUUCCAAAGAUGCUGCCCAUGAUACGACCCCACCAGCUCCCCAGUGCUGGACUGUCUUAAAUUUUGGAUUUGACUCAAGUCACCUAACAACCUCGGUCCCCAAAAGAAGUCUUGAUGAGAAAUAGGCUGUUCACGCGAUGGGGCGUUUUCAGAAUCUGAAGCCCAUACAGUCUGUUCUGCUCACACUGCUGGGGACCAUGCUCAGCAGGCGGCAGGCAUGCAGAGGGGGCUCCACAGGAAGCCCUCACCCCAGUCCGCAAUGGGGCCGUGCUGGAGUCCGAAGUGACACACGAAGAAUGAGAGGCCCAUGGGAAAUUUUUGUUUCUUCCAUGAAACUUACAUGUUGUUUUCACGGAUAUUGGGAACUGUGUAACUACAUGUACUGUUGGCACCUUUGUGCUCAGGCGGCUCUAAAACACCGGGUGCCUGGGGGAUUGUGAGCAUCCUGGACUCUACGUCCUGCUUCUCUGUCGCUAUCCCCACGCCCUGCCUCACCAUUAUGCUACCUGCCCAUUUCUGAUGUAUGGUUUUGCUUGCCGUUGAAGUUGAGUCUGAUAUUUGCUAGGAUGUCAGCAGGAGAAAAAGAAUAAACACAUCCUCUGUAAAUAGCACUGGAAUUUCCACAUCCAAACCAGAGUUCCUUCCCCAAAGCCGUCCCCUUGGGGGACCGUGUUUAUCAUCUGAUGCUACCCUCGCCACCACCCUAGGGAGACCUGAGGACUCUUUGUCUAUAAAGAUAGCUUUUUUUUUGAGGAAGGUGGGCUGUAGUUCAUUCAUUUGAUAAACGUGUCCAGAGCUGCAGUGCUGCCCGGCUCCACCUCUGCAGCAGCCUUCAUUGGAGGCUUGGACAGGAAGCUCUCAGGCAGGCAGGUAUGCCAACCAGUCUCACCCUCCCAGGUGCCGCCAGACUGAUUCAUCCUGAGCCACUUCCUGGGGCGGGGCUGCUCGGCCCACAGCAGCCUGUCCCCACCUCCCAACGACCUGGCUUCAGAGAAGCCAAAGGGCUUUCCCUGACUCAGCCCCGUGUUGGCAAGGGGCGCUUGUGCCGAGGUUGUUAGGGGCGGGGAAGCUGAGGGCCACGUCUGUCUCACUCACCCCUACCAUCUCAGGCGGCCACCAGAUGCAAUUCCUCCUCCACAUUCUUAGACCACCUUAGCUGUGUGGCCUCGAGCAAGUAACUUAGCCUCUCUGUGCUUUGAUUUGCUCCCCUAUGAAUUGGGGACAUACUAGUACCUACUCAGAGAGGUGUUGGGACGGUAAAAGGAGAGAAGCACCGUGAAAGGUUCAGCACGGCGCCCGGCACACGUUAGCGGCACUGGGGCUGUGAUGGUGCACCUGGGAAAGGUGGGUAGAAACUCAUCUUCACAGCCCCCUCCCCUGCGACCUGGGCCCGGGCGCGCCUAAGCCUUCUGAACUCAGCUCUUUGUGACAGCACUUAGCACUCCCCCUGGCACCAGGCCUGGUAAAUAGCAGUGUUGGAGAAGUCAGGCAUUCCAAGACCCCAGGGGAGACGCUGGGGUGGGCUCUGAAGGGGAAGGAGCUCACAGCAGCCGGGGCCGUAGAAGGCAGGGUGUGAUGUGGGUGCAGGGAUGUGCGUGUAGUGCCUGCGUGUGGCAAGUUCUCUCCUCAGAUAGAAGGUAAACCCUGUACUCAUCAGAGGUUGCACACCAAACAGCCCCCAGGGCUGCAUUUGGCCUGUAGAAAUGUUUUGCCCUUCAGUGCUUUUCUAAAAAGAGACAUCUCCAUAAGGAAAUCACACGUACGAAUCCAGAUUUCGGAUUUUCUAAAAGAAUCAGAAGAGCUCGUAACACUGGACCCCCAUCCCGUUGUGGCAAGGACCAGCUAAAGCCACGACUCAUGACAUGUAUGCAUUUCUAGCACAUUCACCACCUCCUGGGCCCUGCGGGAGUCGACUUCCAAGAGGCUCUGGCAUGAGACUGCAGUUGACCUCUGGCCCUGCCUCCCUGGGCAAGUCACACAAGCCCUCUAAGCCUUAGCUUUGUCAUCUGUAAAAGGCAUCUAAGACUAGUCCCUUCCUCACACCGUUGUGAGGGGGGAUGGGAUAAUAUAUGUAGAGCACCUGACGCCUGGCACAUAGCAAGUAUUUUAUACUUUCCAGCUAUUGCUGCUGUUGCCUCUGGUACCAGCUCAUGAUUUCAGGAUCAAAACUGACCUCCGUGGAGACCGGAAAGGACCUUCCUUAACUUGGACAGCUUGUUUUCUCCCCAGGUGAAACCGCUGCCAGCUGGAAAUGACCACACUGGGGGGAAAUUUUUAAAAAUCCCCUCUGUUCCAUCUACUGAUCCCUUCCUCCCCACC
This is a long non-coding RNA of Felis catus (domestic cat), 3209 nucleotides long. RefSeq lists it as uncharacterized. NCBI's taxonomy places the organism in Eukaryota, Metazoa, Chordata, Mammalia, Carnivora, Felidae. The record is from RefSeq and is a predicted model, not a curated record. The transcript is spliced from 3 exons.